Molecule: ribosomal RNA, 486 nt
Filed under: uncultured bacterium
Lineage: Bacteria
Description: partial 16S ribosomal RNA
Rfam family: Bacterial small subunit ribosomal RNA
Source: RNAcentral
GACGAACGCUGGCGGCGUGCUUAACACACGCAAGUCGAACGGGAUCCAAAGGCUUUUUGUUUUUGGUGAGAGUGGCGAACGGGUGAGUAACACGUGAGUAACCUGCCCCCUUCUUUUGGAUAACCGCAUGAAAGUGUGGCUAAUACAGGAUAUUCCAGGCUGGUCGCAUGAUUGGUUUGGGAAAUGGUUUGGUCUGGUGGGGGAUGGGCUCGCGGCCUAUCAGCUUGUUGGUGGGGUGAUGGCCUACCAAGGCGGUGACGGGUAGCCGGCCUGAGAGGGUGGGCGGUGACAUUGGGACUGGGAUACGGCCCAGAGUGCGACGGGAGGCAGCAGUGGGGGAUUAUGCACAAUGGGCGCAAGCCUGAUGCAGCGGCGCGGCGUGAGGGAUGAAGGCCUGCGGGUUGUAAACCUCUUUCGAUGGGUUGAAAGGCCAUGCUUUGGGUGUGGUUGAUUUGAACUGGUAAAGAAGUACCGGCUAACUACGUG